RNAcentral lists this ribosomal RNA (253 nucleotides) under uncultured bacterium. Its description in RNAcentral is "partial 16S ribosomal RNA". It matches the Rfam family "Bacterial small subunit ribosomal RNA", at positions 524 to 776 of the family's 1533-position model. The record is from RNAcentral.
UACAGAGGUCCCAAGCGUUGUUCGGAUUCAUUGGGCGUAAAGGGUGUGUAGGUGGCGCCGUAAGUCGGGUGUGAAAUUUCGGAGCUUAACUCCGAAACUGCAUUCGAUACUGCGGUGCUUGAGGACUGGAGAGGAGACUGGAAUUCAUGGUGUAGCAGUGAAAUGCGUAGAGAUCAUGAGGAAGACCAGUGGCGAAGGCGGGUCUCUGGACAGUCCCUGACACUGAGACACGAAGGCCAGGGGAGCAAACGGG